GACGAACGCUGGCGGCGCGCUUAACACAUGCAAGUCGAACGGAAAGGCCUGCUUUCCCUUGUGGAUUGCGGGUACUCGAGUGGCGAACGGGUGAGUAACACGUGAGUGAUCUGCCCCCAACUUGGGUAUAAGCCUGGGAAACUGGGUCUAAUUCCCGAUAGGACUGCAGGGUGGUGCCUGUGGUGGAAAACGAUUUUCUAGUGGUUGGGGAUGAGCUCGCGGCCUAUCAGCUUGUUGGUGGGGUAAUGGCCUACUAAGGCGGCGACGGGUAGCCGGCCUGAGAGGGUGGACGGCCACAUUGGGACUGAGAUACGGCCCAGACUCCUACGGGAGGCAGCAGUGGGGAAUAUUGCACAAUGGGCGGAAGCCUGAUGCAGCGACGCCGCGUGGGGGAUGACGGCCUUCGGGUUGUAAACUCCUUUCGACCGCGAGGAAGCCACCUGGUUGGAAGGGUGGUGACGGUAGUGGUAGAAGAAGCACCGGCUAACUACGUG
Molecule: ribosomal RNA, 494 nt
Filed under: uncultured bacterium
Lineage: Bacteria
Description: partial 16S ribosomal RNA
Rfam family: Bacterial small subunit ribosomal RNA
Source: RNAcentral